CCACCUUCUCUAGCCCAUCUUUAAUCCAAAAUGAUGGCUCAGUUCAUCCGUAAGAGUUUCUUCCUGCCUUCCCGCGUCUCCUCCACUUCAGUUCCGAUGGAAUAUUCACAUUCCACCUGGGCCUCCCAUUCAGACUACUGAAGCUCAUUGGCCCCUGUGGUCCUUCCUGGGGUCGGUCACACGACGAUACAAUGGAGACAUUAAUCUUCUUCCUCAAGAGGUUGAGAAGGGUCAGACAAAGUGAUGGCUUCACUGGGUGGACACCCGGCCCGCGCCUGCCCUGUUUGUUUUUCCUCCGUCCCCUCGGUCAGGAAGAAGCUGUGAGAGAGGGAUGUUUCCCGGGGAGAGGGGCAGGUACAAGGGCUUACAAGCGCUGAGGUAAAUGGGAAGGGGGGCUGGGGUUUCAGGUUGCCUUCCCCCAGGGCCAGGUCACCCUGAUAACCCCGGAGGAAUUCUGUGGCCUAGGGGGUGGCAAGAUAGAACGGCAAAUCCAUUGCUGUGCUAAAGUAAAACUCUGCAGACUUCAAUUUGGGGGCACUGAUGGAUAGGACGUGGCUUCUUUGAAGCUGAGCCUGGACCAGUCACUCUCCAGGAGAUGCCUCUUUUGCUUCUUCUCCUUCUAAAUGCAUCCUAGCAUCCCCAAGAGGAGGGGGGAGGAGGGACUCCAGAGGAAGCAAUGGAAAAGAUCUAAGCCCUGAGUAUUGUCCCCAUAUUGAAAGGGUCCUUAAAGGGGCAGAUGAGGGGGCAAGGGGCUCUGGCUACCAUUGGUACAGGCAGGUCCUAGGGUCCUACUUGUGGCUGGGGGUCAGCUGAUGAAAACACAUAUCCUUCUUCUCACCAAGGCUGGUGCGCCAAGGAUCCUCCUCCCCAUCACCGCCCUUCCCUUAGAGAGCCUGCUGAGGCUGGAAUGAAAAGAAUCUGAACUACAAACAGACCUCUUGGCUGCCUCCCCAACUCUUCUCCAGCCUCUCCAAGGCUGCAGGCUUCCAGGCAAGGCUGAAAGGGGGCCUAGGUGGGAAGACCCCACACAGAGACCCCAGAGAAAUGGGUGCGGAAGUAAGAUGAGGGGAGAGAGACACUACACAAGCAUAUUUUUUUAAAUAGGGUCUCACUCUAAGUUCCAGUUAGCCUGGAACUUAACCACAUAGUCCAGGCUGGCCUCCAAUUCUUGGCAAUCCUCCUGCCUCGGCUUUCUCAAGUUCUGGAAUUAUAGAUGUGAGCCAGUACUUACGGCUUGGAAAAAAAAAAUCAUACUUUCCAAGCCAAAAAUCAAAACCUUUACAAGUCGAUUUGCUGGAGUCAUGGCAUUAGGGAUUUGAAACCAAGCUCACUCUAGAAUGAGCCAGGCUGCGGAAGUCUCCAUCCAACCCAGGGUUGACCUGUGCCCCCAGCCCUUGUCUCCUCUCUGCUUGGCUCUGUUCUCUCAAGGGCUGAGCUCUCCUGGUGCUAGCCAGGCAGCAUUACAGCCCGAGAACGCUCUGGAUAGCCUGGAAGACUCGGGAAACACGGAGAGUGGUCCCUAAAAGGACAGGAGGCACAGAGCCAAAGGCCACUCCUGCCCACCACACUUCCCCAGAGCCCAGCAUCCUGCCCUCUGGAGCCUCCUCCCUAAGCUACCUGAACAAUGUGGAACUUCGGUGUGAUUUAGCCAGGACUGUACAUGCCGUGAGAUACCCAGGCAGUGUCCUAGAAGGGUGACCUCGGGAGAGGACCAGGGAACAAGAGAGAAGAAGCUUCCAGCCAGGAGCAGGAAAUUGCCUGAGGCAAGAUGACCUCUUUCCAAGGGCAGCUCUCUCCAGCUUGUCUAACACAGCUCCUGCCAAGGGUGGUAUAGAAAGGCACCGAGCCCACAGCAGGCUGGGGAAGGACAUUGAAAAGGCAGCUUAAGGGCUUCCUGCUGGGUGAGAUGGAUUAGGGGCCUGUGGGGAGUGAGUCCAGCAGCAGAAAGGCACUGGCCCCAUGCCAGAGUCCCUUGGCCAAAGACACUCUGAGACCAAGAGUCCCUGGGUAUCUGGCAGGCUGGAAGUCAGCAUCUUCCACCUGGCUGAGUGGCCCAGACAGAGUGACAUAUGGUGAUAAGGAGAGAGGCCACAGAGCACGAAAACUGAGGAAGGAAAGGGGCCCUGCUUGUGGGAAGCAGCGGACAUUUCACAGGAAAAACAAAUGACUUCGCCAGUGAUUUUAUCCAUGUCUCCCUGAGACCUUGAACUAUCUUUGUCCUUCAGGGCUGGUUCACUCCUGGGCUUUGUUUCUCUAGUCUGUAAAAUGGGAGCUCUGAGGCAACACUGGCAGUGGGAUAAGUAGGGGAAUCCUGUUUUGUCUUAUCUAUCAUCUGUCUAUCUAUCUAUCUAUUUAUCUAUCUAUCUAUUGGUUUUUCCAGACAGGGUUUCUCUGUGUAGCCCUGGCAGGCCUGGAACUCACAGAGAUCCUCCUCCCCCUACCUCCUGAGUACUGGACCACUAUGCCCAAGACUUUAAAAGUGCAUGGCCCAGGGCUCUAACAAGGAGCCUGAGGCAGGAGAAUCACAAGUUAGAGGUUACAUAGUGAUAUCCUAACUCAGAACAAAAAUCAAUCUGUCAAAGAUAGGUGAUGUGGUGCAUGCCUUUAAUCCCAGCAUUCAGGAGGCAAAGGCAGGCGGCCUCAUCACCGUGAGUUUGAGGCCACCCAGAGCCACAGAGUGAGACUCUGUUUCGAAAAACAAAAAAACAAAGUAAAAAAAAAAAAUCAAUCCAUCAGUCAUAUUGAAGGCUAUGUGGCUCCAGGGACCAGAAGCAUCAUUAUCGUGUUUUGUUUUGUUUGUGUUUGUGAUUUUGUUUUUGUUUCUGUUUUUUGGAGACAGGGUUUCUCCGUGUAAUUUUGGUGCCUGUCCUGGAUCUCGACUCUGUAGACCAGGCUGGCCUCGAACUCACAGAGAUCCGCCUGGCUCUGCCUCCCAAGUGCUGGGAUCAAAGGCGGCGGCCACCACCGCCCGGCUGUGAUUAUUCCUUUGAGGCUAGAGUCUUACUAAGUUGCCUGCCCAGGUAGGCUUCUACCUGCUGGGUCAAGCGACCCUCUGGCCCCAUUCCUCCUAAUAUCUGGAACUAUGUGCAAGCAGCUCGAGUCCUGUGUUUAGAGCAAAGACAUCUCCUCCGACAGCUGGAAGCAGGCUAACAUCCUCACGUCCCCACCCCACCUCACGGGACAAACCAGCGGGUGAGAAAGUUUCACCCAGCUAAGAUGUGGGCAGCCACUGAGGAGAUCCUUUGGGGGGGAGAAGAGGCUUCAGUGCUGGACACUCCAAGCUCAGGAUGUGCCGGCAUCGGCGCGGCCCUGUCUCCCAACUCACUGGGUCAGUCCCUUUCUUUGUGCUCAGUUCUUUCCCACAGCCCAGCAAGGGGGGUGCUAGGAUCCCAGGCCCACCCCCUCCUGCUGGGCAGCACCCCAUCAACCCCCACAUAAAAAGCUUGAGAGGGGACCGGGAGGUGGGGACGUUCUCACUCCGAGGAGGCCUCGGCACCCUUCUCUCUUUCUGGGGAACAAGAAACUUGCCAAAGGCCUGGGCCCCUUCCUCAUCCCCUGGCCCCAGCGCUGGCUCCCCCAGACAAAAAGCUGCUUUACAUGAGAAGAGCGGGCUGGCCUGGCCUUACCCGGGCACUCAAAGAGGCGGUAGCCCCUGACAGCCGGGGCUGCCCCUUCCCCCACAACGAGGCCUCGUUUAGUUGCAAUUAGCAAUUCUUUGCAUACGCCCCUCGAGGCUGGAGGGACGCGGGUCCUCACCCCCGAAAGUCAGCCUUCCACCUUCCUGGAGUCUGCCCGCUCCUCUUUCUCCACGGAGCCUCUCUUCACCGCCCUGUCCCAGCUGGGCACCGGGCUUCCUAGGAGUUCUCCAUAGAAGGAAGCCCAGCCGAGGAGCGAAACGGAGAACUCUGAGGCUGGGGGUGGGGUGGGGCAGAGGAGGAGGCUGGGGUUGCUCAAGCUGGAGGACCCAUCACAAACCCGCCCUGCCGCGACCCUCCUCCCUUCCUAAGCCAUCCCCUCUCCAAAUCAAGCCUGACUUUUGGAUGGCAUAGAAGAAGGACCAAAGGAAAAGAGGGGGAGCCUUCGGUACGGUGGAAACUUUGCAGGCCUGGAGGAGGACGCCUAAUAGCCACAAGGGUUUUACUUUUCUCCUGGGACAGAAAUCAAAUGUCCUGCUGGGAAAGGAGAUACCAUCUUGAUCUCUGUGAGGAAUGGAGCAAGGUAGCAACACUCGGUGCUCCUGUUGGGUGAUAAACGGGUGUGUCAAGGCAGAGGGAGGAGGGCACUAAGCCUCCCUGAGGUCACCUCCACCUCCAGUACAGCAUCGGGAGAAGUCAGGUUCCUGGUUGAGGCGGCCUGUGAGCAUCUUCCAAAGGGUUUUUAGAAUUUAUAACAAGAAUAGGAGUAGUGUAACACGAAUUUCUAAAGGUCUUACCAUAAAAAAAAACCUGGAGCCUGAUACCGGGGUGAUAGCUGAAAGAUCAAAGAAGCAGCCACAAGUCACAGCCACCACCUCUUACCUCACCAGCUGAAAGAGCCGCUAUCUCAAAGGGACACUUCUGCUGAAAAGCCUUUAGUUCCUGUCUCUUCAGGCCUUAUAAACUUUUCUUUGCCCAGCCAUUACUUCCUGGGAUUAUAGGUGUGUGCUUCCCAGUCCUGGGUUUAAAGGUGUGAGCCUGGCUCUGUUUUCUCUCCUAGACUGAGUCAAUCUCAUGUUGUCCAGGGUGGCUUUGAACUCAGAGAUCCAAACAAAUCUCUGCCACCGAGUGCUAGGAUUAAAGGUGUGUGCCACCACUGCCUGGCCUCUGUGUUUAAUCUAGUGGCUUGUUCUGUUUUCUGAUCUUCAGAUAAAUUUUAUUAGGGUACACAAUAUAUCACCCCAUUUCCCUUUUUUUUUGUCUAAAAUAGUAAAAGAAGGUUAUAACUAAUAUAAGAAAAACAAUAUACAAUAAGUACAAUAAGUAUAUAUAAUAUAUACAGUCAAGAAUUACAUUAACAAUGUCCAGUCCAUUAGCAUUUGACAAAUUCAGAGAAAAGACUCCAUUAUUUAUCCUAUUUUGGUGAAUCCAAAGUGUAGUACCUAAUUCACUUCUUUUUUUUUUUUCUUUUUUUUCAGAGCUGAGGACCAAACCCAGGUCCUUGCGCUCUACCACUGAGCUAAAUCCCCAACUCCCCUAAUUCACUUUCUAUCCUAACUUGUAUUACCAACCAAAAACUAUCUUUUGAUGUCUUUCAAACUUAUACACUUUACAUCUCUUUAGGGAGUUUCUGUUCUGAGUUUGUUAACAAGGAAAACUAUAACUAUCUAGCCUUCAACUCUAUCAGAGACCCAAGAAGGAAAUAAUAUUACCUAAGUAAGCAGGAAGUGCAAAUAAGCAACUUCUGAAAAAUGUGAGAAAUGACAGAAACAGCUGGCUGCCUGGACAGUCACCCAAGGUUCCUCUGCAAUGUUGGGGCAUCCAUCUUCAGCCAACAGGCCUAGCAUAUCUGACAGACUUUUCUGUGAAGCAGGAUUUUCUGAAUGGCUGUCCUAUCUUGUCUUGGCAAGGUUUGGCAGACCUUUCUUUUGUGUCCUGCUUGUCCAUUUUGGACAGCAUACUGUCGGCAGUCAAGGCAAGGGCACUUUCUUGCCCAGUGGCUAACUUUUGCCACAAAGAAAGUAAACUCCAUAUGGAUGAUGCCCAUCAUCUUCUCUGAAGUAGAUUGGUGCUGCCAGAAGCAGACAUGUCUCAUAGUCAUAAAAAGAAGAAGAAGAAGAAAAAGAAGAAGAAGAAGAAAAAGAAGAAGAAGAAGAAGAAGAAGAAAAAUCUAUGUUAUUAAAACAUCUUAAAUGCCAUAUUCUGUAGAUCUCUGAAGUGUUUGAAGAUGACAUGUUUAUCUAAAAUAUAUCUGUUUGACCUUGAAAACAUACUUAAUAUGACUACAAGUUCGAUUGUAAUAGGUGAACAACUACUAACCUUCAUUUCUUUAUUAUCCUAAUUAGUUGGUAAUAACUUUCAAGGACUAGAAAAUUGCAUUACAUUGUUAAAUGAGCUGUAUAGGUACAAUACCUUGAACAAGUUUAGAAAUGUAUGUACAGAAUGUUCUAACAAAAUUUAUCUCACAUUUGUAUCAAUAUACAAAAUUUGUAUACAGCAUACAAAAUUCCAAUCCAA
Molecule: long non-coding RNA, 6152 nt
Organism: Peromyscus californicus insignis
Lineage: Eukaryota; Metazoa; Chordata; Mammalia; Rodentia; Cricetidae
Exons: 2
Source: RefSeq, a predicted model, not a curated record